GGGGGAACUGAAAACAUCUAAGUACCCUGAGGAAAAAGAAAAUCAACCGAGAUUCCCUUAGUAGUGGCGAGCGAACGGGGACUAGCCCUUAAGUGGCUUUGAGAUUAGCGGAACGCUCUGGAAAGUGCGGCCAUAGUGGGUGAUAGCCCUGUACGCGAAAGUCUCUUAGUCAUGAAAUCGAGUAGGACGGAGCACGAGGAAACUUUGUCUGAAUAUGGGGGGACCAUCCUCCAAGGCUAAAUACUACUGACUGACCGAUAGUGAACUAGUACCGUGAGGGAAAGGACGAAAAGAACCCCGGAGAGGGGAGUGAAAUAGAUCCUGAAACCGUAUGCGUACAAGCAGUGGGAGCAGACUUUGUUCUGUGACUGCGUACCUUUUGUAUAAUGGGUCAGCGACUUAUUUUCAGUGGCGAGCUUUAACCGAAUAGGGGAGGCGUAGCGAAAGCGAGUCUUAAUAGGGCGUCUAGUCGCUGGGAAUAGACCCGAAACCGGGCGAUCUAUCCAUGGGCAGGUUGAAGGUUAGGUAACACUGACUGGAGGACCGAACCGACUACCGUUGAAAAGUUAGCGGAUGACCUGUG
RNAcentral lists this ribosomal RNA (583 nucleotides) under Pseudomonas sp. MD195_PC81_125. RNAcentral describes it as "partial 23S ribosomal RNA". It matches the Rfam family "Bacterial large subunit ribosomal RNA", at positions 186 to 813 of the family's 2925-position model. The record is from RNAcentral. Lineage: Bacteria; Pseudomonadati; Pseudomonadota; Gammaproteobacteria; Pseudomonadales; Pseudomonadaceae.